RNAcentral lists this ribosomal RNA (253 nucleotides) under uncultured bacterium. RNAcentral describes it as "partial 16S ribosomal RNA". It matches the Rfam family "Bacterial small subunit ribosomal RNA", at positions 524 to 776 of the family's 1533-position model. The record is from RNAcentral.
UACAGAGGGGGCAAGCGUUGUUCGGAAUUACUGGGCGUAAAGGGCUCGUAGGCGGCCAACUAAGUCCGACGUGAAAUCCCAAGGCUUAACCUUGGAACUGCGUCGGAUACUGGAUGGCUUGAAUUCGGGAGAGGGAUGCAGAAUUCCAGGUGUAGCGGUGAAAUGCGUAGAUAUCUGGAGGAAUACCGGUGGCGAAGGCGGCAUCCUGGACCGACAUUGACGCUGAGGAGCGAAAGCUAGGGGAGCAAACGGG